RNAcentral lists this ribosomal RNA (303 nucleotides) under uncultured bacterium. RNAcentral describes it as "partial 16S ribosomal RNA". It matches the Rfam family "Bacterial small subunit ribosomal RNA", at positions 507 to 809 of the family's 1533-position model. The record is from RNAcentral.
AGCAGCCGCCGCGGGAAUACGUAGGGUGCAAGCGUUAAUCGGAAUUACUGGGCGUAAAGCGUGCGCAGGCGGUUCGCUAAGACAGAUGUGAAAUCCCCGGGCUUAACCUGGGAACUGCAUUUGUGACUGGCGGGCUAGAGUGUGGCAGAGGGGGGUAGAAUUCCACGUGUAGCAGUGAAAUGCGUAGAGAUGUGGAGGAAUACCGAUGGCGAAGGCAGCCCCCUGGGCCAAUACUGACGCUCAUGCACGAAAGCGUGGGGAGCAAACAGGAUUAGAUACCCGUGUAGUCCCUGUCUCUUAUAA